This 69-nucleotide transfer RNA is filed under the name Galaxiella nigrostriata (black-stripe minnow). Its description in RNAcentral is "tRNA-Ala". It matches the Rfam family "tRNA". Rfam says of the family: Transfer RNA (tRNA) molecules are approximately 80 nucleotides in length. The record is from RNAcentral. Lineage: Eukaryota; Metazoa; Chordata; Actinopteri; Galaxiiformes; Galaxiidae.
AAGGCUUUAGCUUAAUUAAAGUGUCUGGGUUGCAUUCAGAAGAUAUGAGAUAGAGUCUUGUAAGCCUUA